RNAcentral lists this long non-coding RNA (266 nucleotides) under Mytilus galloprovincialis (Mediterranean mussel). The record is from RNAcentral. Lineage: Eukaryota; Metazoa; Mollusca; Bivalvia; Mytilida; Mytilidae.
CUUAAAAUGAAUCCUAAUUUGUUCUUGAUAGUUUUUUAAGUGCUAUUGAAAUAACGCCCGUUUUGGGAUAAAACCUAUUAUUGGAUAAAGUUCCUUUUAUUUAACCGUACAGAAAACAAACACAAGAGUUCGCAUUAAUUUUCACUGGACACAUUUUAUGCCGAUUUAAUAUGACUAUAACACAGUGGCGGUACGCCUAGUGCACUUGUUGACCUGGCUAUGGAAUGAGGUUGUCAUGUCAAAACAAUGAUUGUACACGACAGGAU